GCCCCCAUCGUCUAGCGGUCCAGGACAUCGCCCUCUCACGGCGCAAACAGCGGUUCAAAUCCGCUUGGGGGUACCA
Molecule: transfer RNA, 76 nt
Filed under: Aeriscardovia aeriphila
Lineage: Bacteria; Bacillati; Actinomycetota; Actinomycetes; Bifidobacteriales; Bifidobacteriaceae
Description: tRNA-Glu
Rfam family: tRNA
About the family: Transfer RNA (tRNA) molecules are approximately 80 nucleotides in length.
Source: RNAcentral